Molecule: ribosomal RNA, 497 nt
Filed under: uncultured bacterium
Lineage: Bacteria
Description: partial 16S ribosomal RNA
Rfam family: Bacterial small subunit ribosomal RNA
Source: RNAcentral
GAUGAACGCUGGCGGCGUGCCUAAUACAUGCAAGUCGAGCGAACGGACGAGAAGCUUGCUUCUCUGGUGUUAGCGGCGGACGGGUGAGUAACACGUGGAUAACCUACCUAUAAGACUGGGAUAACUUCGGGAAACCGGAGCUAAUACCGGAUAAUAUUUUGAACCGCAUGGUUCAAAAGUGAAAGACGGUCUUGCUGUCACUUAUAGAUGGAUCCGCGCUGCAUUAGCUAGUUGGUAAGGUAACGGCUUACCAAGGCAACGAUGCAUAGCCGACCUGAGAGGGUGAUCGGCCACACUGGAACUGAGACACGGUCCAGACUCCUACGGGAGGCAGCAGUAGGGAAUCUUCCGCAAUGGGCGAAAGCCUGACGGAGCAACGCCGCGUGAGUGAUGAAGGUCUUCGGAUCAUAAAACUCUGUUAUUAGGGAAGAACAUAUGUGUAAGUAACUGUGCACAUCUUGACGGUACCUAAUCAGAAAGCCACGGCUAACUACGUG